CUAAGAGAUAAGUGGAUGGGCUGUGGGCCCAUACUGGUUUAACACUCCCCCUCAAGAUGGGUGGUAGAUAUCUAUCAUUCCCAUCUUGUCACAUGCCAAGUUACAGUCCUUUGUUCCCAACCCCUUUGUUAAACAUGUUAGGCUUUAUGCACUAGCCAAUGCAACCAAAAGUCCAGACUGAUGAAAAGUGAUAGGCAAUCCACAUAUACACUUCAACACCCCCUCUCACGUGUGACGCGGAAAAGCCAGUCUAACUCUCAAAGACCCUGAGAAUCACGGCGGGGAGGGCCAGCCCCAACCAGAGUGUGCGUGCGACGGUCCUGGACAAAACAAGAGUCAACGUCAAGGAUGACGCGACAACCAGAAUCAGUAAGUUGACCAGCAGAAAACAGAUUCAUGGUAAGUUGAGGAACAUCAGCAACAUCAGGGACAGAAUAAGGAGUUGUAAGAUUGCCUCUACUAAUGACAGAAAGAGGAGUACCAUCAGCAGUGAGGACAUGAACAGGAGAAUCAAGCGAUCAAAGAGAGGACAGAGUGGAAGAAUGAGAAGACAUAUGAAAAGAAGCUCCAGAGUCCAAAACCCAUGGGGAUGUACCUGACUGUGUAGAAGGUGGUUGCUCAGUGCGGGAAG
This 631-nucleotide long non-coding RNA is filed under the name Hordeum vulgare. RNAcentral's name for it is "long non-coding RNA (HVUL_LNC010007)". Lineage: Eukaryota; Viridiplantae; Streptophyta; Magnoliopsida; Poales; Poaceae. The record is from RNAcentral.